UACGUAGGGGGCGAGCGUUGUCCGGAUUUAUUGGGCGUAAAGCGCACGUAGGUGGUUCGGUUAGUCGGAUGUGAAAUUCCGGGGCUCAACCCCGGGACGCCAUUCGAUACUGCCGGACUCGAGGCAGGUAGGGGAGAGUGGAAUUCCUGGUGUAGCGGUGAAAUGCGUAGAUAUCAGGAGGAACACCGGUGGCGAAAGCGGCUCUCUGGGCCUGUCCUGACACUCAUGUGCGAAAGCUGGGGGAGCGAACAGG
This 253-nucleotide unclassified non-coding RNA is filed under the name uncultured Actinomycetes bacterium. RNAcentral describes it as "uncultured actinobacterium contains 16S-23S intergenic spacer region". It matches the Rfam family "Bacterial small subunit ribosomal RNA", at positions 524 to 776 of the family's 1533-position model. Lineage: Bacteria; Bacillati; Actinomycetota; Actinomycetes. The record is from RNAcentral.